RNAcentral lists this ribosomal RNA (254 nucleotides) under uncultured bacterium. RNAcentral's name for it is "partial 16S ribosomal RNA". It matches the Rfam family "Bacterial small subunit ribosomal RNA", at positions 524 to 776 of the family's 1533-position model. The record is from RNAcentral.
UACAGAGGGUGCAAGCGUUGUUCGGAAUUACUGGGCGUAAAGCGCGUGUAGGCGGCUGGUUAGGUGUGAUGUGAAAUCCUCGGGCUCAACCCGAGAACUGCAUUGCAAACCGGCCUGGCUAGAGUGCAGGAGAGGGAAGCGGAAUUCCAGGUGUAGCGGUGAAAUGCGUAGAUAUCGGGAGGAACACCUGUGGCGAAAGCGGCUCACUGGACCACAACUGACGCUGAGGCGCGAAAGCUAGGGGAGCAAACAGG